GCCCUGGUAGCUCAAUUGGUUAGAGCGUCGGACUUUUACGAUUCCUUGUGAUUCCAACUAAAGUCCAUCCGAAGGCUGCGGGUUCGACCCCCGCCUGGGGCG
Xylariaceae sp. FL0016 is the source of this 102-nucleotide non-coding RNA. Lineage: Eukaryota; Fungi; Ascomycota; Sordariomycetes; Xylariales; Xylariaceae. The record is from the annotation of a GenBank genome assembly.